CAGUCGCCACGGUAAUACGUAGGGGGCAAGCGUUGUCCGGAAUCAUUGGGCGUAAAGAGCGUGUAGGCGGCUCGGUAAGUCCGCUGUGAAAGUCCAGGGCUCAACCCUGGAAUGCCGGUGGAGACUGUCGAGCUAGAGUCCGGAAGAGGCGAGUGGAACUCCUGGUGUAGCGGUGAAAUGCGCAGAUAUCAGGAAGAACACCAAUGGCGAAGGUAGCUCGCUGGGACGGUACUGACGCUGAGACGCGAAAGCGUGGGGAGCAAACAGGAUUAGAUACCCCAGUAGUCCCUGUCUCUUAUAC
This 301-nucleotide ribosomal RNA is filed under the name uncultured bacterium. RNAcentral describes it as "partial 16S ribosomal RNA". It matches the Rfam family "Bacterial small subunit ribosomal RNA", at positions 509 to 807 of the family's 1533-position model. The record is from RNAcentral.